GGCCCGCUAGCUCAACAGGUAGAGCAGGGGACUCUUAAUCCCUUGGCUGCAGGUUCGAGUCCUGCGCGGGUCA
RNAcentral lists this transfer RNA (73 nucleotides) under Pseudomonadota bacterium. RNAcentral's name for it is "tRNA-Lys". It matches the Rfam family "tRNA". From Rfam's summary of the family: Transfer RNA (tRNA) molecules are approximately 80 nucleotides in length. Their secondary structure includes four short double-helical elements and three loops (D, anti-codon, and T loops). Further hydrogen bonds mediate the characteristic L-shaped molecular structure. tRNAs have two regions of fundamental functional importance: the anti-codon, which is responsible for specific mRNA codon recognition, and the 3' end, to which the tRNAs corresponding amino acid is attached (by aminoacyl-tRNA synthetases). tRNAs cope with the degeneracy of the genetic code in two manners: having more than one tRNA (with a specific anti-codon) for a particular amino acid; and 'wobble' base-pairing, i.e. permitting non-standard base-pairing at the 3rd anti-codon position. RNAcentral also lists the same sequence under 3 other names. The record is from RNAcentral. Lineage: Bacteria; Pseudomonadati; Pseudomonadota.